GGGAUUGGUUGAGACGUCGAAGGGCAGGGACGGACGAUGUUCCCAAAAGUUGGAGGACAGUUGGUCCAGGACGGAGAGAAUAGAGAGAGAACACAGAGAAGAAGGAGAGAAGAGAAGAGAGAAGAGAAAAAACUUUUGGUGUGUCCGUCGUCUUGUCUAGAUGUCUGUCUAAGUGUCUUCUGUCUCAUAGAACUAUCCAUCAAAUCUGUGAAACCAACUUUAGAAGUAGAAGAAUUUAAGCCAGCUCUCUCUCAGAAGGUAUUGUUUAUAGUAGAGGAAAGAAAUUCCUUUUUGUUAAGGUUAGGACAGGCUAUUAUAA
This 319-nucleotide long non-coding RNA is filed under the name Androctonus crassicauda. Lineage: Eukaryota; Metazoa; Arthropoda; Arachnida; Scorpiones; Buthidae. The record is from RNAcentral.